This 16716-nucleotide long non-coding RNA is filed under the name Triticum aestivum (bread wheat). RNAcentral describes it as "long non-coding RNA (TAES_LNC019972)". Lineage: Eukaryota; Viridiplantae; Streptophyta; Magnoliopsida; Poales; Poaceae. The record is from RNAcentral.
UUUUUUUUUCUUUUUGUUUUGUCGACGAGAUCUUUGCAAGAUUCUUUUACGGCGCCACGUGCGUUGCGCUGAUAGGCAGCCAAGAUUUCUUUUGGUUGGCAACUUGACAGGCAGUCAAAGUAAACCUGAUAUGCAGUGUAGUGGACCGCUUGCGUGUGUAGGAAGAAGAGAAGCAACAAAGGGCCGUCGAAAGUGGGCAUCCGAACCGCAGGUGUGAAGUGAGAACGCACGGCAGUACUACAAAGUUAAAGUUGGAGCACAUGGCGCAGACGAGGAACGACUGCCGUCGGCGGGCAGGGGAUAAACCCAUUUUUUGAUUUUAAUAUUACUACUAGGAAACGGCUGCAGCGACUCGGCCGGCCCCACCCCCACGGCCGAAAACCCCCUUUCUUUCUAUUUCUAUUUCUAUAUAGGGUACAUCGUCUGCUCCUCCCGUUCCCCUCCAAAAACCCAAACCAAAACCAAAGAGAGCCCCCCACCCAUCCAUCGGCUUCGGCUUCGGCGUCGGGCGUCGGCGUCGGGCGUCGGCGGGCGGCAUGGUGGUCUGCGUUCCUGCCGCCGAGACCCCUGCGCUGGAGCUGGGCCCUCUCCACAGCUCGCUCUGCCUCGCGCCCGCCGCCUCGCUGGAACUUCCCCUUCCCGGCAUGGCGCGGGCCGACGCCAGGCGGCCGUCGGAGGGCCCCGAUCAGAUCCCAGGCAAUCCACCUCGCCGCAUUGCGCGCCUCGUCCAUCUGGAUCCCGCGCACCUCGCCGCGGUGACCGCGGCCCUUGGGCUCCACAUCGCCGGCGGCGCAAGCCCGAUCCCCUCUCUCGUGCAGCGCAGAGACGACGCCUCCGACUCCGGCUCCGGCUCCGGCUCCGGCUCCGACGACGACACCGGCCAUCCUAAUGACCGGCACCUCUGCUACCCACUCAUCCAGUUGCUGGAAACAGGGGGCGCCCGCAUCUUCUUCCCAGGCUCGGUUCCAGACCUUCCCGACGCUCCGCAAGGCGGCGGCCUGCACAGGUACAUACCAUAUGCGCCGACCAUCGCCACCCCUUCGUCCUGAAUGUCUGAUUUGAUUCCGCGCAGUUUCUCCACCAAGUCCAACCUCACUGCUCCAAUCAUAUUUUUUUAUUUUUUCUGUACAUUUGAUUUGAUUCCGUACGCUACACACUCAUCGUCAAUCAAUCCCAUUUGGUAAUGGUCAGAUCGUGCCCGUCGUGCGAUUGCGGUCCUUAGUUUGAGCAGUAGCGCUUUUGGGUGCAUUCACGGAUGCUACUUCUGAUGCGGUGGAGUAGUUUUCAAUGUCUUUCCUUUUCCAUAAACAGCUUUCCUUUCUAGUAUUUCUGAUGUGUCCUUUUUGUUUGUGUUUUUUGGUCCGUGUCUGGUGUUUUUCUGUGUCCAAGACUAGCGGUAGCGGGGCAGGGAGCUAGCUAGUUGCUCUUAACUGAUUAUAGUCAAUUGAUUGGCAGUACACAAGUACCUCAACCUAUUCAACCAGGGACAGUCUUUGGAAUAAUAAACCAUGCGGUUUCUUCCACCCCAAAUGUUGCAUCCACACAUGUCCUGCAAAUGAUGAUGUUCAAAGCAGGGUGCUUGCUUGGGGGACACAGCGGGCCAUCAGCCAUAACCUUAUUUCGAUUGAUCCAGCCGCAGCCGUAACCCAUCUUGCUUUCUGCUAUCAACUAUGCAAAGCAAAUGGAUAUUUGAAUGCAUUUGUUUCCUGUCGAUGCUUUCCAAACAAUGUCAGAGUUUUACUUGGAAACUACCAUCCUUGCAUGUAGAUUACAUGUUUAGCGCCUUGGUACAUCAGGGUUUGAGCAAUCUGAAGCCGGAGGGACACUAACCCUUUUGAUCACAGUGUAGAGUUAUUUUUUCUGAAGACUCUAAGCAAACUUCCAUUGCCUACCUCUUUGCAUGCUUUCCUGUUAUAUGUCGGUUAUGGUUGAUCAAACUUGGGGCUAAAUCUUUCGGUGCUUGGCCAUGGAGCCAUCUAGAAUGCCAAGAACAUAAAGACACUUCAUACCUCGCUCUGAUCUGUAACACCACAUCCAGAAUGGCUUUCACACCGUGAUUGUUGUCUCCUGGGUCCUUUGGAAAGAAAGGAACAAACACAUGUUCAAUAGCUAAAGGAGAAUGACCCAGGAUGUUAUCUUUGCCAUCUCUAAAGAAAGGGUGCCGUGGAGGAUGCGAAGAGUCAUGGAGUACUAUAGAAUGCUUGGCCGUGCGACCAUCCUGUGCUUAUUUGCUUAAUGUAUCUUUUCUUAUAGGGUGAUUGCCUGUUGCUGCUCUUCAGUGUAUAGUUCUAGCUGUUUGUCUCUUGCUGUUGUAUUGAAUCUUUAUCUUGUUUCUUGAUACAAAUAUGGGCAGUCCCCCUGCCGGUUCUCUGCAAACAAAAAAGUUUUGGCUCUAUGUUGAGGCUGCAAAUAAGACUUUCUCACUCUCGUCACAGUUCACAAGUUACCUGUGUACCUACCCAGAGCUUUUGCUUGUUAUUUCUGUACACAAAGUUCUCUUCGUAUAGAAAAAUGUAUUUCUUGAGGGUAAACUACCUACUGAAUAUUUCCGAAAGAAAAUUUUCCUAGUGGAUCCCCUGUCUAAUGCAAACCACCAAGCUUUCUUGCUGAUAAUCUUAUCGUGUGUACACCAACUCUGUUUCAACUGUUCUGGAGAUUUUGAAUCACUACUAUUAUGGCAUACACAUAAUACAAUUCUGUAUAACAAGUAUUUGAGGGCGAAAAAUAUUCAUGGGUCAACGUGGGACCAAAAACAGCCCACCUGAACUCAUCAUUCCAUUAGAAGACAGAUAACAAUUUCUACAUUCAUAGCAAAAUCUUACAAUAAGGGAAAUGUCGUUUGUUUUUUUUGCACAAUUUCUAGUUCACUGUGAAUAGCAUGUUAGGUGGUUUAAAUCAGUGCAAGUGGUCCAUAAUAUUUACAUUGGUUUCCUAGUAAGUCAAAAUUAGCAGAUACGCAGAGAAGAAGAAUACGUAGCAAAACAAUGUUAAUUCAAGCCUUUCAGUAGGUGAUAAUACUUCCAUUCUCAACAUGAGUCAUCACUACUAAAUAAAUAAAAAGGAAAAGAUGCAUAUACAUCACACUGAUGCCUUGUAGAACAUUGCAGACAGCCAGGGGGCUCAUCACUGUCAGGUUAUUGAAGCCACAUGUCAUUAAAAAGCGUAGCAGUUAUACAAAUUGACCCGUUUCAAACCAAAAGACGGAGCUGUAAUUUUUAAGCAAGGUCCUGCUUUAAACCAGGUACAUUAUGAAAACAUAUAUUUAAAAAUUCCAGCUGAAGCUAAUAAAUCCUGUUCUGUUUGUCUUUACAUUAUGAGGUUUCUUUUUGGUAUACAUCAUGCAAUGCAUAGUUGAAUUGAUGUUCUUGGUGAGGACAAUAGUGUCUUCGAUGCUUUAUGAUUUAUAGAAACUUCCAGAAACCUUGUAUUUAUGCACUUCUUUUUGCGGGUGGUGUAUUUAUGCACUUUGAAGUACAUUAUGAAGUUUUAAUCUUGACCAUAUUACAGGAUAUCCGAUGCAUAUGGCAAUCCAUAUAUCCUCAAGGCAGGCACAGAAAGCUUUGCAGGUCCUUGUGAGCUGACCAAUGAAACGACAAGGACUUGGGUCAUUAGGCUCAAAAUCACUACCAAACUCGUUUCUUUAAGUCAGCAACAUCUGCAUGAGCAGAAUUGGGAAUUGUCUGAAGAAUGCUUUGCAGAGGUAGCUGGGCAAUCUUUAGAGAAGCUCCUUGAAGUUGCAUGUUCCUUCAGUGAUGCCAAUUGGUCUGAUGUCCAUAUCCACAACAGCUGUCUGUUUUUGACGCACUUGUUGAUGUCCUAUUCAAUAUACAAGACCUACGUUUCAGCAGAUCUGGUGAGGUUGCUGGUAUUAUUAAUAAGAUGGUGAAUGCUUUCAAAGGAGUGAUUGAGGGGACUUCAAAUGAAAUCUGUGGCAUCAAAGAAUCCACCAUCCACCCAGCAACUUUCGUUCUCAUACAAGUCCUGGAAUUCUUCUGUCGUAACAAAGAUAUGGUGCAGUCAAUACUUGAAUCUGGAGAUUACAACACUGGCCCAUGCUCUGACAUGUUUUCUUGUUUGGCAUCCAAGCUCAAGGAAUGUGCAGAAACAGUUUUCCAACAAAAGGGACAAAGGUACAUAUUUGUGUUAAAUAACAUGUAUUAUGUUCUGCAAAAGAACCGCCAUUCAGGAUUACUCCCUCCGAAUGUAGCAGCUACUUUGGUUUCAGUGAUUGACCAAUACGUGGUGAGCUACCUUGAUGAGUACUGGUUUCCACCUAUGCUGUUGUAUCUGGAUGGGGAUUCUCUGAAGAAGCCACGUCGUUCAUCCCUGCAUAAUUUUAUUGGAGAAUUCUUCAGAACAUGUAAUGGCCAGAUGACUUGGAAAGUUCAAACUGAGCUUAAAAACAUACUACGGGAAGAGAUAGUGAAUUUGAUCGUUCCAAAAUACGUAAACUUCUCAGAGGUGCUGCAGGCAAAUCCAAGGCGGUGCUGGUCGUCUUGGUUAAAGGGGAUGUGGCGAACAAGAUCUGAGAAGCUGGAGUGUACUGGUGCAGAUUUGGCAAAGGUGAUUGGAAGAUUGUUCGAGAGAUAACAGGCGGCAGGUAACACAGAAGAGAGGGCACACCAGGCUUAUAUGGGCGGGUGCAUUUAUCCUAUAUUAGCAUUUAGAAUGCAUUUUGUGUGAUGGCUCCAUAUAUGCGACAUUUUCUGGUAUGAGCCUGCUUGCUGUAUUAGCAAGAUUUAGCGCUGGAGGUUCCGGAUAGAAUUUAGUGUAUGCUGCAUAUUACCUGCAGUUUUGUUUCUGUCGUAUAUAUAGUUUUUUUUGUUACGUGUAUGUAAUAUGUAGAGGAACUUCCAGUUUUGUUUGUGUAAAAUGUAUAGAUUUUUGUCUCUCUCUAUCUCUCAAACACGCACGUGCUGCUAAUGUUGGAUAUAGAUAGCAUGUUAGAAAUGGUAAAAAAGUAAUGUUGCGGGAAGAUAUCUGACCUGGCUGGCCAUUGUAGACUAGCUAUUUUAUACUGGACCUGUUUGUUGUGGUGAAUGAGCGGCAUUGUACAAUUGCUGAUUCCUGCGAUGGAAGUGGAACUAAUUUGAAAUUCAAUUUUUCGUACAUGUGUACAUGUCGCAGGCUUUGUAUGCUAGAUGAUGGAGCAAAUGUCCACCAUUGUGGAAAAGAUUCGAUGCAGCUUCACCACUCGGGUAGGAAUUUUUCUUAAGAAUUUCUUUGUACUAAUUUCAAUAGGAUUUGUAGCGGCCAUUCAAAUCUCUUUGAAACAAUCCUUUGUUUUUUCUAUGAUGCAAUCAAUCAAUCCUAUAUUUUUCCUAGUCUCGUGUUCUUGGAAACCUGCGAAUCAAAAAGGCCCUUAAUGUGUGUGUGCUUGUUGGGUAUGGGUGCUUGUUUUUGGCUGAAGAAAAUACAAUUUACCUAAAGUGAAGUGGAACAGCUUACAGGUACGUAGUACUCAGAUUUGGACAUUAUGGCAAUAAUAACAGCAACAACAAAGUCCAAAACAUUACAUUGAUUGAAUACAAGCUUGGUUUGCAAGAGUUGGAGAACAAGCUCCUAAACUAGUGCACACAGCACCUCACAACCACACGGGUUUACAUGAUUCCAAAUAUCCAAAUACAACCCACUAAUUACAUAGAACACAACAUAAGCAAAAGUACAGCAAAUUGUUCUGAUAAAAAGCAAGAUCUCAACAGUCCACUCGCCGGAUAGUCCUGCCCAUGCCUGUCGACCCAGGGGUCGAACAUGACCGGAACUGGAGCACGAAAGUCAGAUCACCGUCGGCGACGAGCGCCCAGACGACUCGCAGUUGCCUCUGGGUCAGCCGGUCGGGAGCGCACAACCAACAGAUCGGCAUCGCGCCUCCGGAGUCCUGAGAGAAAGCCAAAGGGGGAUGCAGCGCCACACGAACCCGCGCCACCGCCGACCAAGUCGGAUCCUUGAGCGAGCUCGCGUACGGACGUCAUCCACCACCACCACCCACGCGAUUCCAUGGUUCCCAUCGGCGGCGACGGAGGGGAUGGAACGGAGGCCGGCAGUACUGGCGGCUGCGGCUGGAGGUUCCGCCCGUGUCGCCCGCCUAUACUAUCCUAUCCUAUCCUAUCCUUCACAGGGAACUAACAGCAGAGGGCGCUGAAGGUCUCCUCUAUAGCACGGAGUAAAGAUCAAUAGUGAAGUUGUUGAUAAAAUAUAUGGAAACUGUUAAUGCUUCCCUUUUUAACUGUGAUAUCAGCUCUCUUUCUGCACUCAGCUUUCCAUAAUUUUCCCUAAAAGCUUUUGGUAUAUGCCACUGCAUGAUUAUGAGUUUAUCUCCUCGAAACAUUUCCAUCAUUUCAUGGUUUUCUAAAUUAUGUGCUACGAAACCACACACUUCUCCUGAAAUGCCAAUUUGGCAAGGUCAAGUGACAACAACUGACUGAAAUGAACAUUUCACAUGACCUGUAAAAUAACUCAUAUUUUGACUAAGCCCAGGAUUCCAUAAGGUCAAGUACAAUGGACCAGCAAAACAUGGCUGAACAACUCAAAAUCAUUGGGUUAAUCCAACCAUUUGAGAUGUGUUCCUACAAUAAUUAGUCAUGUUAAUCUCUUCCGGUCACUAAAAAUUUAAGAAAUUCCCAGAUGAGGGAGACCCUCCUAAUGUAACAGCUAGUGUGAUGGUUCCACCAAAGCCACCUGGGUUCGAGUCUCCCACCUACACCCAAGUGCAAAGCUUCCCUUACAGUUUUUCUUGAAAAGAAAAGACAGGGUUUUUCCUCCCUUUCGCCUUUUCUUUUUGAAAUUCAGAUUUUGUAAGCUUCUCAUGAACAUGCAGAAACACAUACAAAAUUACAAGCAAAAACAGAGAGCAAAAACAGAGACUUAAAAUUUAUAUAUACCUUCACAAUAUUCUGUUACUCGAUCGAUACACUAGGUACAAUUGCAAGCUUCUCAACAUAAUGCCCUUUCAUGUUUCUUGACUUCCUGGACAAUUCAGGGUGGCACCGAAAGAUAUAAAGUGUUUCCAGUGACGAUGGCAGAUACGGUAAAGAUUGAAGCUCUGUGCAGUACGACAUUCUCAGCCCCUUCAGAUAUGAAAGGCUCAUAAAGUUCACAGGAAAUGAUGUUGCAGUUACUUCAGGGCACCUCUCAAUCACCAGAUAUUUUAGUGAAGCAAGAUACUGCAAUGAGGAUAGAGAACAAAGCGAUUGACAGUUGCGAAUGCACAACUCAGUGAGCACUGUGCAGAACUUAACUGUUUCCGCUAACGGAAGUGAUGUGAUGUUAGGAAGGUCUAGAAUCUCCAAAUAAGACAAACAAGGCAGAUCCUGAAGAAAGCUUCUUAGUGUCUGGUCAGUAAGAUUACACCGAGAGAGCUGAAGCCUUUGCAGAGAUACCAGAGACCCCAGUUGUUCAGCAGCAGCAAGCUGCUCAGCCCCACUUAUGUUUAACACUGCAAUGGACUGUAUAUGAUGUUUGUAGAGUAAUCUAUUGAGGAUGACAGAACUUGUGCAAACGUCCAGCUGGAGCAUUUCUGAACUUGAAGAAAAGGGUGCAAGCCUCAUAUAUGGUAUCAACCGUGUUCGUUCGAUGGUAACUUCACGAGUAGCUUGGCAGAACAAAGGAAUUUUGAUCAAUUCUGGACAAUCCAUUAGACUUACCCUUUCAAGGCAUGGAAAUGAGUUCUUGUCCUCUAUGCCAGCCCACUCACACAACUUCGGGAAAUCAUCAAUUUCAAGGACACUUAGAGAUGGAAAUGCCACAUCACCGGUGCCAUAAAACUCAUGUCCAAUUCGAUCAACUGCACACAUCUCCUUCAUGUGUAAAUAUCUGAGUGAUCCUAAAUUUCCCAAUGGAGGAAGGAUGCACAAGCUCCUGCAAUUGAUGAGGCGCAAAGAACGUAGUUGCUGCAGUGACUGCAGCCAACUAGGAGCUUUGGCGCCACAAUACCUUCUAAUAUUAAGUACCUUUAUGGCAUGGUGAGGCCGCAGACCUUCAAGCACCUUUGCAUCAGCAGGAGGGGAGCUAUUUCUACUAGCUGAGCUCCAUUCCAAAUUCAGAAAAUUAAGAUAAAGUUUCUUAUUCAACUCAGCUUUGCGGGCUUCUUCAUAGCCUGAAACAUUUUCUAGACAUUUUAUUACUAACCCAUGAAGACCAUCAAUGUUCCUCAAUUCUUCUGGUUUGCGCCCUUCCAACUUCGCAAUGUGGAGCUCAAGUGAUCCCUGAAGGUUUGCUAGCCGGCCAAUGCCUACCAGUCCUGCAGUAUACUUCAUUUCAACCAUAAGAUGCCGCAAAUUGACCAACAUACUAACGCUCGCAGGAAGCUUCUCAAGGGAACAUUUCCCAGAGAUGCACAAUGUUUGCAGAUGCAGAAGCUUGCCAAUCGACUCAGGAAGUCUCUGGAUGGAGCCAUGGAUAGAUAGGUAACGGAGGUGCAGUAAGUCAUAAAUGCAAUGAGGUAACUCUUUGGAGUUAUAGCCACUGAGAUCAAGAACACGCAAAUGUUUGGACUUCUUCAAGAUACUUUCUAAAUUCACAGCAAAAUCCUCUUGGAAGCAACUGGAGGAGGACGGAAGUGAUGGUUGGAUGAACAAGGUGAGCAGCUCUGGUAGCCCACUGAAGCUUGUGAGACCAAGUAGACUCUUCACAGUGACGGACAGAUGGCGCACUGUUGAUGGGAUGUCACAUUUCAUGCCAUCCUCAAUAUGGAAGCAGUCCUCCGCUGCAACAGACUUUGCAAGAUCAUGGAGUAAGUCAUGCAUUAAGUAGUAAGUACUGGAUCCAAGCUUGAUUUCUUGGAAAAAUGAGCGUGAAAGGAGCAGACCAAAAUAUUCUCUGGCUAUGUCUUCCAUGCUUUUACCAGCCCUGCCUUGUGGUUGAACAAAGCCCUCGGCAAUCCAAAGGCGGGACAACUAUGUUGGAUCAAACUUAUAGUUCUGUGGAAACAGACUGCAAUAUGCGAAGCACCGCUUGAGGUGUACCGGUAGGUACUUAUAGCUCAAGCGCAGGGCAGGGAGAAGAGCAUUGUCUUGUAAUCCUGUUUUCAUGAUCUUCAUCCAGUGAUUUUUGCUCCUUGUAUCUCCCAGCAAACCUCCCACCAGCUUGGCAGCCAGAGGUGACCCAUUGAUUUUUGCAGCAAUCUGCUUCCCUAUCGGGUGAAGAUCUGGACAGGCAUUGUCGCGACCACUUGGAAAAGCAUGUUCCUUGAGGAUGGCCCAGCAAUCGUCGCUAUUCAGCGGAUUUACAGGGUAUAGAUGCGAUGCACCGAGGAAGUGAGGCACGGUGUUCAUGCGAGAAGUUGCCAGAAUUCUGCUACCAAUACCUGCCGACUGUAGAGGAGCCAUCAUGUCCAGCCAGGUAUCGUCCAUGCCAUUACAGAUAUCAUCAAUAACAAUGAGAUACCUCUUGGAGGUAACAAGUCGACGGAGCUCGGACUGAAGCAUUUGGAAAUCCGCCAUCUUCUCAUCGGAUGCAUCCCAAGCUGGCUGGGCUGACCUUAAGAUCUCCGCUGCCAGGUCCAUUCUGUUGGAACUAGUGGAAACUGAGACCCAACAUCUGACAUCAAAAUGCUUGGCAACUCUUGUAUCAUUGAAUACCAUCUGAGCGAGCGUGGUCUUCCCAAUUCCUGCGGUGCCAACAAUGGAAACCAUCAUGUGAGGUGCAGGAACCUUGGCGCACAGCUUGACGAGCAUCCGCACGACGUCAUCCCUGUCCUUGUCGCGCCCAACAGACACCCCCGCCUGAAGGACUUGCCUGCCUGAAUCAGGCAGCAUCGGCUGCGGUGGCAAAGUGCAGAGCAGGUCGCCAAUCUUGCGAGUUUCUUGAUUCACCGCCUUGAUGCCCCCCGUGAAGCUGUGGGUCGGCUUGGACGCAAAAAGUGCAACAAGAAGGCGGCUGCAACCACACCACCUCAGAGCGGAAAGGAGCUUGGGUCCAUGGGCAAGGAUCUGGACCAGGGAGCUGGGCUGAAAUUUACCGUACUGGACCUUGUCCUGCAGGAGCUGGAUGAAGUGGACGGCGUCCCUGGCCUGCAGAGCCAGCGCCUUGUCGCCGGCACGCUGCGGGUAAGCGCCGGCACAGAUGCUCCAGAUCUGGAGCAAAUGGGCGACGAGAAGGUCCAGCACGGGGUCGGCGACCUUGGAACGGCACCUCGUGAGCUCCCAUUUCCGACGGGCCCUGUGGCAGGAGUGGAUCUCGGCGGCCAGUCCCUCCAUGGCCCGAAACGCCGAGAGGACCAGCCGCAGCGCCUCCGCCAGGCUUGCAGCAUCCAAGCCGCCAGCUUCCUCCAUGGAGAUGGAGAUGGAGAUGGAGGGCUUCAUCCACCGGCUCUUGCCGCUAGCGGCGGUUUCAUUUGGGCGUCAGACUCGGAAGUGUGUUGGGUUGGGUGGUGCCUCCUCUGAGCUCUGAACUGAUGAUGGUUGCCGCUCUCGACGAGCCUUAUCUACACUACACCAGGCAAAAGCAGUCCACCACUGCCAUGCGUCAUAAUCAUCUACUACAAGAGCAAACAGUGAGCUGCUGCGCCCCACAUUGGAUGGAUCUGGGCGCUCGUUUUCAAUCGGACGGGGCUCGGAGCGAAUUCCGAGCACCUCAAUAAUGCUCGUUGUCAACUUUCUUCUUCUUUCUGAUGCCCCGUCCCUGUCCACUUUCUUCUUCUUUCUUAUAAGUAUUCCCUCUGUCCCAAAAUAUAGGGAAAAGUCCAAAACAAAUCUUUAAUUUGUAGGUGAAAGCUAAAUUAAACCCCGAACUCUCAAUCCCUGAAAUCAGCACACCAAACUUUCUAAUCCCGGUCUAUUUUAAACCUUGACAGAACACAACCGGGAUUUGCUGAAUUGGGCCGGCCCAGUAGCGCAGUUGCUCGCGCGCGCACACUAAUCUGGUUUUUUCUUAGUUUCUUCCUUUUUCGUUUUCUUUUCUUUUUUCAUUUUUACACAUGUCUAAUUUUUCUCAGUACCCAAUGUACAUUUUUAACGCACACAUUAAAUAUUUUUGGAUAAAAUUUUGAUAAUUUCAAAUACAUUAUGUACAUUUAUAAAUUACAUGUUUUAAAAACUGUUUGAAUACAUGGUAAUAUUUUUUCAACCACAUGUUUUACAUUUCUUAAUGACAAUAAAUAUUUUAUAAAACUACACAACACUCUUUUACGUGGUUCAACAUUUUUAAAUUUGCACACACUUUUUUCAAGGACAUGCCACAUAUAUUCUGUUAAGGUUAUGACACAUUUUUUACACCACACAAACAUUUUUUUAAACUUGUUAACACAUUCUUUUAAAAAUGUCACAAACACAUUUUUUGGAACUCGUGAUCGUUCUUGAAAUGUUAAUUUUUUUGAAUGUAUAAAACAUUUUUUUUGAAUGACACAAAUAAUAUUAUACAUUGUAUUAACAUUUUGGAUUGGCCCGUACAUUUUUUAAAACUUCUGAUAUUUUUUAGAUGUCACAAAAUAUUUUCAGGUUUCAUAAAAUGUUUAUGUACCAAAACGUGUCCGCACUUUAAUAUUUUGUUCAGGUUGCAGAAGAAAUGUAUGUUUCAAAAAGUGUUCGCACUUUAAAAUUUUGUUCAGGUUUCAAGAAAUGUUUAUAAAGGUGUUCGCUUUUUCAAAGUUGUUGGUUUUUUAAAAGUAUUCGAAAUUUCAAAAGAGUUCCCGCAAUGUUCAACGAUUUCAUAAAUAAAUACGUAAUUUUGAAAAUAUGAAAUAUUUUUCAUAGCAUGUGAAAAACUGUUGGAAUUCUGAACAUUUUUUGAUAAAUGUGAUUUUUUUGAAAUCGGAAGCAGUUUUUAAAAAAUGCUAAUAGAGUUGAUUUUGUGUGAAACACGAAAUUCCAAACAGUUUUUAAAAACAUAAAACGAAUUGAAUUUGUGCGAAAAAUAUAAAACAGAAACAUUUUUAACUUUUAAGCAAUUUUAGAAAUGUGCGAACAUUUUUUAAACCUCACGAAUUCUUGUUGUGUUAUAGUGGGCCGGCCCAAAUUAUAGUCUGUGAGAGUAGCUGGAAUCCCGGCCGGGAUUGUAGUCUUCCCAGUGUGCCAAACAGGUUUAGGGUCCAAAAUAGACCGGGAUUACAAGUUCAGAGUGCCAAUUUCCGGAAUUUAAAGUUCAGGGUUUGAUUUAGCUUUUGUCUACAACUUCAAGGUUUAUUUUGGACUUUUUUCCAAAAUAUAAGAACGCUUUUAACAUCAUACUAGUGUAAAAAACGUUCUAUUAUGGGACGGAGGGAGUAAUACGUAAUAACAAGAAAACCACGAGUUACGACACGCUCGCAUCGACCGUGUGAAUGCUCAAGUACGUGUGAAUGCUCAGGUAAACUAGAGCAUCUCUCUGUAGAACCCUUAUUUCACGCCAACCUGUAAUGUAAAAUAAUCGUCGAUUUACAGUUUUACGUGGAAAAAUGAUUUGAACAGACAUCUUAAACAUCCCUCUCUAAUCUCUAAUUAUUUUUUUGAUAAAACGCCCCUUUUCAAAAAAAAAAAAAUGGCGCGAUAAAUUGCCCCCGACCCGCAAAAAUGCAGGUUUUUCCCCGCCCCGUCGAUGCACUGUAUAGUGGAAAAUCAGUUGGCGGGAGGGACAUUUCAGCCCGCAUGCGUUCCUCUCCCCCAUCGCCGCCCACCCGCCGCCUUCGAUUCCGGCUAUAUCCGCCGGCUGAAACACACAGCCGGACCGCUGCAGACCGGGGUCCACCGCGCCGCUUCGCCGGCGCCACGGAUCCGCCGCGCCCGGGUCACAGCCGCCUCGAAUCGACCGCCGCUGAGUCACCGCUCGCCCUGAAUCCACCAGUGAGUCCUUUUCUGGCCCUUCAAGUUAGAUUUAGCGAACGAUUUGCAUUCAUGCGAGCUUCGUUGCGAUUUGUAUAUGGAUUUGAGCCCUUGCGAGAAAUUUUUGCUCGAGGAUUUGUCCUUGUUCGACAUCUCAGACAUAGAGAUGCUGCUCGAGAACAAUCGACGGCAAAUGGUGUUGGUGGUCCUCGCCGCGAAGGAGUUCGAGGAUAGGAACAGAAAAAGACGACAAGGAUCGACUGUCGGCCGCCUUUGCAUCCCUCGCAGCCUCCAUCUCGGAAAUGUGAUGUUGAUGCAAGACUACUUCGCGGUGUCACCUACGUAUCCGCCACACCUCUUUCGGAGAAGGUAUCGAAUGCGCGGAUCCCUCUUCGUAAAAAUAGUAGAAGCUUGCGAGGCCAAUCCUUGAUUUUUUACCAAAGGAGAAACGCCGCAGAAUUGAAGGGUUUUAACACAUACCCAAAAAAACUCGGCAGCUAUGCAGGUGAUUGCAUAUGGCAUUCUGGUUGACUAUGCUGACGAAUAUCUUCGCAUUGGCGAAGAUACUACAAUUGAGUCAGUGCGUAGAUUCGCCAAAGUGAUCAUCUGUGUCCUUGGUCCUGCCUAUCUUCGGGCACCCAACGAGGAAGAGACAAAAAUGUUGAUGGCAACAAAUGAGAAGUGAGGUUGGCUGGGCAUGCUAGGAAGCGUUGAUUGCAUGCGUGGACUUGAAAAAACUACCCGAAGGCAUGGCACGGGUAGUAUUGUGGCAAGUCUCGAGAUGCAAUAAUUGUGCUACAGGCCAUUGCAUCCGAGGAUUUAUGGAUUUGGCAUUGCUUCUUUGAUUUGUCGGGUACUCUCAAUGACAUCAAUGUGGUGCAUCGGUCUCAUUUGUUUGCUAGUGGUGAUGCCCCUGCAACUACACGGUGAAUGGGCAUUAGUACACAAAGGGCUACUAUCUUGCUGAUGGUAUUUACCCUUCUUGAUCUAUAUUUGUAAAGACCAUCAGAAACCCCCCAAAAGGAAGCAAGCUGGAUUUGCAAAGGCACAAGAGGCUGCCUGAAAAGAUAUUGAAAGAGCCUUUGGAGUUUUGCAAGUUAGGUUUGCCAUUGUUCGUAGUCCUGAUCGUUUUUGGGGCAAGCGAACGCUGAACAACAUCAUGACAUGCCACGUGAUUCUUCACAACAUGAUCAUCGAAGAUGAGACGAACAUGGACUUGAAGUUCUUCUACGACAAUGUUGGUAACCGAGUGAAGCCAUCUAGAGACCUUGACCGCAUAGAAGCAUUCAUUCAGACAUACCGGAAAAUUGAAGACUCAAACACCCACCACCAGCUUCAGCAUGAUCUCAUUGAGCACAAUUGGCAAAGACAUGGGCAGUAAUAAAACGUGCCAUUUUUACAUUCAUUUAGUUUAAUUCAUGUGUGAUUUGUACCAUUGUUGUAUUUGGAAUAAUUCUUAUAUUGAAUUAUAAGUUUAAUUCUUAGAUUUAAAUAAUUAUCAUAAUUUAGAUGAUUGUUGGAUUGUAAUAUUCAGAUUUUAAUUUAUUCGUAAGUUGAGAAAAAACCACGUGUUUUAAGAGCUGGUGCGAGCUGCAGGGGAAUAGGCCCCGCAAGGCCGGACGGUAAAGCAGGAUAUUCUGUGAAUAUUCUGUUUUACCGUUCGGUCGCAGGCCGUGUCAGCCCUCAAAACACGUUUUUCGUGGCCCUUAUGCUCACUUUAAAGUUUCGCGCGAUAAGGGGUUUGCUAGAGAUGCCCUUAGUGUUGUUUGGAUAUAGGGAAUUAGAUGUGAGAUUUUAGAAAACGUGUUUUGGGAAGAUUUUUAGGAAAACCAGUUUUGGUUAGUUAUUCUGUUAAGGUUAGCAUACAUGAUACCUUGUUUGGAUGGAUAAAAAUAGAAAAAACCCAAUUUUGAGUUCCUCCCAAAACAAUUCAUUGAGGUGCGGUGCUUUGGCUUGCUUUUGUCAUCUACAUGCACAACGAUGGACAGCCAUACCGUAAGCGCGGCCAUCGCCGAGGCCCCCAGGGUGGUCGCGCUGCUCGCCUAAUCGUGCUCUGCUUCGUUCGCCGGUGUCAUCCAUGUUGGCUCAGGCUCCAUCGAAGAGGCACGUACAUGCAGCUCACAUACGAAGUACACGGCGUAAAAGCACGUUGAUUGGUUCUCACGCCGGGCACGCAUGUAUAGCACCUAGCUAGCUGCUGGAAAAUGAUUCGCCGGCAACACCAGAGCACAACAGACAUGCUAGGAAGGCGCGACGACAACGUACAAGCUGGAGCAUAUCGGACAACCACAGUGGUUGUGAAGUGGCCGAUGGACACGACAGCUGCCGGCCGAAGUCCGCAUCCGUCAUGGAGGCUCUGGGCUAGAUGGAGCAUCGCAACCUGCUCCGGCUAUCUGGACGAGAUCGGCAACGACGUCUUGGCUUUGUCAAGCUGCUGUCGCGGACGGCGGAGUUUACCAUGCUCAGCACGUUGGACUUCGUUGAUCUCCUAAUGCAUAUAGAAAACACGUUCGUAUAAAAACGCUCAUUAGUGGUUUCUGCGUAAACUAGGUUUAGUAAUAUCCACGAGUUAGUUAGAUGAUCCAAACAAUGUUUUAGGUCGUUACAUCAGAAAUCGGGUUUAAAGAAAGGGUCUGUUUUAUGUCUCAUCUAACCUGAUCUCCACUAUGUUUGUGGUCUAUUUUUUUGUCCCAGCUUUUUUUUUGUUAUUCCUUGUUGCUGCCUUAUUUAUGGGAGGUUAGAUGUGACAUUCUUAGAAGACAUCUAGAUGUGAAUUAGACAAACUGUUAAAAAACUAGUUCUCUAUAAUCUAGGUAUCCAAACAACCGAGCAUCUACAGCUGCAUAUGACAAAUAUGAUUCUCAAACACCUACAGAUGUGUCCGAGCAGUGACCGGGCAUUCCUCAAAUUACCACAACUGCAUCUGGACACCCAAUACUAGAUUCUUAAAUUCAUACAAAAGCAUGCAAAUGAAAAAACCUACGUACUACGUAGAUCACCUAGCUACUCCUCAUCGGAGAAGUCGACUAUCUUCGUGCCCUGCUCCGGGUACAUGGGCGGCAACUGUAGCUCCGGCUCCUCCGGCUGCUCCGCUCAGCAUCCUCCUCUGUCUCCAUGUCAAGUUCGGCGAAGAGCGCAUCGGUCGCCGCCCGCUCCUGUCAGAGGAACUCCCGAUUAGCCUUCAUAUAGGCCUCAUCCUGGAUGGACUGAAGGAUGGCAUGCUGCUCUGCCAUCUUCGCAGCUUGGGCGACGACGAACUCCGCCUCUGCCUCCUUCAUCCUCAUCCCCCUCUGGAUCCGCCGCCUCCAUCGGCUCCAGCAAUUGCUCUCCCUCCUCCUCCUUCGGCUGCUCCUCCUCCUCUGGAUCUAGCGAGCCCAGAGGCAGCCCGACAACGAUGCGGGCGGUGCGCCUAGCCUGGAUCUCCUUCGUGAUCUGCCUCCGGUGCUCCGGCGUCAGCAUAGCAUACGUGGUGAUCUUCUGCCGGACCAUGGUGAUGCCGGAGAGCAUGGGAGAGCGGGAAAGAGGAUGCGGACGAGCUCGGGUGGCGGCGCAGAGAGGGAGCAUGUGGAUGGGCUAGGGUUGGGGGCGCCAGCCAACUUAAAUAGCCGGGCCUCGGGCGGUAGUCGGUGCGGCGGCACGCGACGUUCACACCGUGGCGACGGAUGAGGCAUCCGUCGGACCAUCGGGUUUCCGGUUGAUUCCACAUGAGGCCCCAUCAUCAAUCCUAUGUGGCGGACACGCCCGGGCGCUGAUGUCUACUACGUAACUUUAUUCUUGUAGACACGUGUUGAGCCUCCAAGCGCAGAGUUUUGUAGGACAGUAGCAAUUUUCCCUCAAGUAGAUGACCUAAGGUUUAUCAAUCUGUGGGAGGUGUAGGAUGAAGAUGGUCUCUCUCAAACAACCCUGCAAUCAAAUAAUAAAAAAAAUCUCUUGUGUCCCCAACACACCAAAUACAAUGGUAAUUUGUAUAGGUGCACUAGUU